This 903-nucleotide ribosomal RNA is filed under the name Pseudomonas fluorescens. RNAcentral's name for it is "bacterial SSU rRNA". It matches the Rfam family "Bacterial small subunit ribosomal RNA", at positions 56 to 957 of the family's 1533-position model. The record is from RNAcentral. Lineage: Bacteria; Pseudomonadati; Pseudomonadota; Gammaproteobacteria; Pseudomonadales; Pseudomonadaceae.
UGCAGUCGAGCGGAUGAAAGGAGCUUGCUCCUGGAUUCAGCGGCGGACGGGUGAGUAAUGCCUAGGAAUCUGCCUGGUAGUGGGGGACAACGUUUCGAAAGGAACGCUAAUACCGCAUACGUCCUACGGGAGAAAGCAGGGGACCUUCGGGCCUUGCGCUAUCAGAUGAGCCUAGGUCGGAUUAGCUAGUUGGUGAGGUAAUGGCUCACCAAGGCGACGAUCCGUAACUGGUCUGAGAGGAUGAUCAGUCACACUGGAACUGAGACACGGUCCAGACUCCUACGGGAGGCAGCAGUGGGGAAUAUUGGACAAUGGGCGAAAGCCUGAUCCAGCCAUGCCGCGUGUGUGAAGAAGGUCUUCGGAUUGUAAAGCACUUUAAGUUGGGAGGAAGGGUUGUAGAUUAAUACUCUGCAAUUUUGACGUUACCGACAGAAUAAGCACCGGCUAACUCUGUGCCAGCAGCCGCGGUAAUACAGAGGGUGCAAGCGUUAAUCGGAAUUACUGGGCGUAAAGCGCGCGUAGGUGGUUCGUUAAGUUGGAUGUGAAAUCCCCGGGCUCAACCUGGGAACUGCAUUCAAAACUGUCGAGCUAGAGUAUGGUAGAGGGUGGUGGAAUUUCCUGUGUAGCGGUGAAAUGCGUAGAUAUAGGAAGGAACACCAGUGGCGAAGGCGACCACCUGGACUGAUACUGACACUGAGGUGCGAAAGCGUGGGGAGCAAACAGGAUUAGAUACCCUGGUAGUCCACGCCGUAAACGAUGUCAACUAGCCGUUGGGAGCCUUGAGCUCUUAGUGGCGCAGCUAACGCAUUAAGUUGACCGCCUGGGGAGUACGGCCGCAAGGUUAAAACUCAAAUGAAUUGACGGGGCCCGCACAAGCGGUGGAGCAUGUGGUUUAUUCGAGCA